Molecule: ribosomal RNA, 477 nt
Filed under: uncultured bacterium
Lineage: Bacteria
Description: partial 16S ribosomal RNA
Rfam family: Bacterial small subunit ribosomal RNA
Source: RNAcentral
GACGAACGCUGGCGGCGUGCUUAACACAUGCAAGUCGAACGGUAAGGCCCUUCGGGGUACACGAGUGGCGAACGGGUGAGUAACACGUGGGUGAUCUGCCCUGCACUUCGGGAUAAGCCUGGGAAACUGGGUCUAAUACCGGAUAGGACCACUGCCUGCAUGGGUGGGGGUGGAAAGCUUUUGCGGUGUGGGAUGGGCCCGCGGCCUAUCAGCUUGUUGGUGGGGUGAUGGCCUACCAAGGCGACGACGGGUAGCCGGCCUGAGAGGGUGGCCGGCCACACUGGGACUGAGAUACGGCCCAGACUCCUACGGGGGGCAGCAGUGGGGAAUAUUGUACAAUGGGCGCAAGCCUGAUGCAGCGACGCCGCGUGGGGGAUGACGGCCUUCGGGUUGUAAACCUCUUUCAGCACCGACGAAGCGCAAGUGACGGUAGGUGCAGAAGAGGACCGGCCAACUACGUGCCAGCAGCCGCGGUAA